CCCCGCUUUCCACCUUCGUUCCGAUCCCACUCUAAACCCACAUUUGAUUCCUGCACCCACUUCAAUUCCUCAGCCAGAACGUGUCUUCAGUAACCAUACUCAAAAUGAAAACUGAAGAACAAUUUGUUCUUUUGACAAGCCCUAGGAAUCAAGGGCAUUCUCUAAUUGCUACUUCGUUUCCUGAGAAAUCUGUUGUUUAGGUCUUAUGAACGGCGGCAUCAAGUCACAAUCUCUCAAAGAAUACUUAAAAAAAUAUGAAAAUAGCCAAUGAAGUAGAGAAGAAAAAGAGGAAGAAGAAGAAAAUUAAAAUGCUCAAGAAAGAUGAUCCUGUGGGUGCACUUGUGGUAGAUAAAGAUCCGGUGUGGCAGAAACCUGUAAAUGUUGAAAACAUAGAUGAGGAAGAUUCAGCAGAUGAAGAAAAACGCCAUGUUAAUAUUGAAGUCAAAUGAAUCAAGAUAAUGGAGCAAAUUCGAUUGUUUCGUCCAUAUGAUAAGAUUUUCGAGGAUGGAAGUGGUUGGAGACCCGUCUCUGAUACUUGAAAAAAACUUGAUCUCCAUCUUGUGAACGGAAAACUAGGUAUGACAGACCAUCUCCGGAGGCAGAACUAAACCCAUCUAACUCUGAAAAUCAAGAUGCCGACUUGUCACCACCACGCCAAAAGUGUAGACGUGUCCGCACGCCAUCAUCCGAGGGAAAGGUAAAGUUAACAGAAUAUGGAAACAAAGACCCUGACUUGUCACCACCAUGCCAAAGGCGUAGAUGUGUCCGCAUGCCUUCACCGGAACCAGAUCUUCUCCUCCAAGGAAAAGCAGGACAGAUCAUGUGCAUUCUGAUUCGAUAGACCUCUCUCCCCCUCGCCGAACUCGUAGCAAAUCAGCUGUUAAUUCUCUUCUGUUGGACCUGUCUCCUCCAAGAAAAAAGGAAUCUGGUUCAAUCUCAGCCCAGGAAAGAAGUAGAGAGAGAAAUGAAGGAUGAGAUAUCCAGAUAUCUUGUUUAAUGUUUGAUGGGUAUUCUGAACCCGAUCAAAAAAAUGGACCCAUCUGUGAGUGGAAGGGCGCCUGAACGCAUUUGCCGUGAUAAAGGAAGAUGUUUAUCUAAGGAGGAGGUGGCAAAAUUAGAUGAAGGAGAAGAAAAGCCAAAGGGAUGAUCCGUUAGUUGACAACAUGCUGAAAGAGAGGAUCAGGUGGGGAAUCCAAUGGCGCACUUGGUGCAGCGGAAGCCACCUGAGAUGGCCUUGGGAAAUUAGGGAGAUGACGAAAAGAUGAAAGAGUCUGGGUUUAUAAUUCCUCAGGACAUUCCUAGCCACAACUGGAUAAAAAGGAAAAAAUAACUCCAAUACGUAAUCGUUAUGGUAUAAAACCUGGGCGUCACUGGGAUGGGGGUGAACUGAAGUAAUGGUCUUACCAAUGGUGGCAUCAAAGCCAGUCUUUCAAAGAAUACUUAAAAAAAUAGGAAAACACCAAUGAAAUAGAGAAAAAAUAGAAGAAGAAAAGUAAAAUGCCCAAGAAAGAUCCUUUGGGUGUACUCGUGGUUGAUGAAGAUCUGGUGUGGCAGAAACCUGUAAAUGUUGAAAAUGAAGAUGAGGAAAAUUCUGCAGAUGAAGAGAAAUCCCAAGCUAAUGAUGGCAAUCAAGUCAAACGAAUGAAGAGAAGAAUGGAGCAAAUUCGAUCAUUUCGUCCAAAUGAUAGAUUUCUGAGGAUAGAAGUGGUCUGAUAUCUGUCUCUGACACUGAAAAACUUGUCACCACCAUGCAAAGGCUUAGACGUGUGCGCACGCCAUCGCCCGAGGAAAAAGUAAAGUCAACAGAUUAUGAAAACAAAGGGCGGACUUGUGACCACCAUGCCAAAGGCGUAGACGUGUCCACACGCCUUCACUGGAUCCGGAUCUUUCUCCUCCAAGGAAAAGCAGGACAGAUCAUCUGCAUCCUGAAUCGAUAGACCUCUCUCACCCUUGACGAACUCUUAGCAAAUCAUCUGUUAAUUCUCUUGUGUCGGACCUGUAUCCUCCUAGAAAAAAGAAAUGGUUUAAUCUCAGCUCAACAGAUCAAAAAAUAAGUAGAGAGAUAUGAAGGAUGAGAUAUCCACGUUCAACAAAAUGGACCCGUCUGUGAGUGGAAGGGCGCUUGAAUGCAUUCACCGUGACAAAGAAGGAAGAUGUUUAUGUAAGGAGGAGGUUGCAAGAUUAGAAAAAAGGAGAAGAAGAAAAACCAAAGACAAUUUCUUGCAACUUUGUCCUUUGGUUUGCAUUGUCUGCGUGGCUGUUUCACGUAUUAAUUUUUGCAACAUUUGUGUUGCCUUUUGCUGUCUCUCUUCUCAUUGGAACAGUUGCCAAGAACUUUGUGAUUGAGGUAAACAAGAAGAAACAGCAGAAGCUUAUGACUCCGGCAAUCAAAUUUAUGGUGUAAAUUUUUCGGAUCAAUAAGUUUGUCAGUCCUUUUUCAGCAGAUAACUGGAUUCCAUCAGCACAACACUAGUGGUUCACUUGCCUAUGUUUCAGGACAUGAAGGGUUAUCCUGUAGAUUUUAGUCUCUUAGUACACAUUGUGUUUUUUUUUUAAAUGAUCAAAUCUUUUUUAUGAAUAUUUAGCACUGCAACCUAGAAAGUUCCAUGUAUUUUCCUUAAUGGGCACAAAGAAAGCAGUCGGAGACUCGGAGUUAUGCUUAUGUGCAUACUUUACCUUAAAAGGCACCAUUUAUCAGCAAAAUGAGUACACAAUGAGAGCCAAAGUCUUAAAAACAGGGCAUUGCCCACGAAUCAGAAACAAUGAAAUGUAGUGCUUCACUAAGAAUGUUUAUGCUUCCGUGAAAAGGCAGCUUUUAAGACUUCAAUGACAUGACAAAAAUAGUUUUAAUGUUUAAAAUAGUUUUAAUUGCAUCUAAAAGAGCUUGACACCCCAACUAUAGGGUAUGCGCUUUUAUUCAUGGACACAAAAAUGUAGGUGUUCCUACUUCCACAAACCACUAUAAAUUGGCCUUUCACAGUUGACGUGUCGAGCAAAAAUUCCCCAGAAUCAUAGAACUAAUGCUUAAUGCCGAUUC
This is a long non-coding RNA of Papaver somniferum (opium poppy), 3037 nucleotides long. RefSeq lists it as uncharacterized. NCBI's taxonomy places the organism in Eukaryota, Viridiplantae, Streptophyta, Magnoliopsida, Ranunculales, Papaveraceae. The transcript is spliced from 13 exons. The record is from RefSeq and is a predicted model, not a curated record.